Molecule: ribosomal RNA, 236 nt
Filed under: uncultured bacterium
Lineage: Bacteria
Description: partial 16S ribosomal RNA
Rfam family: Bacterial small subunit ribosomal RNA
Source: RNAcentral
UACAGAGGUCUCAAGCGUUGUCCGGAUUCAUUGGGCGUAAAGAGCGUGUAGGCGGCCAGGUAGGUCGGUUGUGAAAACUGGAGGCUCAACCUUCAGACGUCGACCGAAACCAUCUGGCUAGAGUCCGGGAGAGGAGAGUGGAAUUCCUGGUGUAGCGGUGAAAUGCGUAGAUAUCUGGAGGAACAUCAGUGGCGAAGGCGACACCCUGGACUCAUACUGACACUGAGGUGCGAAAG